AAUCUGGUUGAUCCUGCCAGUAGGCAUGUGCUUGUCUCAACAAUUAAGCCAUGCAUGUACAAAUAAAAUCUUCAAAUAUCAAACUGCGAAUGGCUGAUUCAACUCAACUACAUUUACUGAGAUCAUAUAAGCUACGUGACUACCUGUAGUAAUUCUAGGACUUAUGCAUGCAAUUAUGUCAGGACACGCAAGAAAACGGCUGUAAUUAUUAUAACAGAAACAACCGGGAAAACUCUACUGUCACUGCUGAAUUCUCUGUUGACUUUGAUGAAGUCAGUUCUCCAUGUAUCAGUGUCGUAUCUAUUUAUUGUCAACCGUAUGAAUUCAUUGGUAUAUUUUCUGGCUGCCAUUGAAAUAAAAGGAGAUCCGGGUUCAUUGCUUAUUUCUCGAAAGCGAGGAUUUAUUUUCAAGUAUCGGUUUAUUGUAGGAAUUUUGUUUGAUUGCAUGGAGGAUUUAAUCAUGAGCUGACAUCAGUUAGAGAACCACUGGAAAAACAGGGAGUACUUGAGAGCUGUUUCGUCCUAGUUUGAGACUCCUCAGCAGUACGCACCCACCGGGAUUCGAACCCAGGAC
Molecule: non-coding RNA, 573 nt
Filed under: Trichobilharzia regenti
Lineage: Eukaryota; Metazoa; Platyhelminthes; Trematoda; Strigeidida; Schistosomatidae
Description: Eukaryotic small subunit ribosomal RNA
Rfam family: Eukaryotic small subunit ribosomal RNA
Source: Rfam by way of RNAcentral